RNAcentral lists this ribosomal RNA (514 nucleotides) under Caltoris bromus. Its description in RNAcentral is "partial 16S ribosomal RNA". The stretch from base 387 to 514 matches the Rfam family "Bacterial large subunit ribosomal RNA", at positions 2473 to 2600 of the family's 2925-position model. Lineage: Eukaryota; Metazoa; Arthropoda; Insecta; Lepidoptera; Hesperiidae. The record is from RNAcentral.
GUCUUUUUGUUAUAAAUUUAAAGUCAAAUCUGCCCACUGAUUUAUUAUUAAAGGGCUGCAGUAUAUUGACUGUACAAAGGUAGCAUAAUAAUUAGUCUUUUAAUUGAAGACUUGUAUGAAAGAUUUGAUGAGAUAUAGACUGUCUCUUUUUUAUAGUUAGAACUUAAUUUUUUAGUAAAAAAGCUAAAAUUUUUUUAAAAGACGAGAAGACCCUAUAGAGUUUUAUAAUUAAGUUUAAUUAUAUAUUUAUAUUUAAAUUUAAAAUUAAUUAAUUUAAUUAUUUUAUUGGGGUGAUAGAAAAAUUAAAAUAACUUUUUUUAAAUUUAAACAUUAAUUAAUGAUUAUAUGAUCCAUAAUUUAUGAUUAUAAGAAAAAAUUACCUUAGGGAUAACAGCGUAAUUUUUUUUUUUAGUUCUUAUAAGAAAAAAAGUUUGCGACCUCGAUGUUGGAUUAAGAUAAAAUUUAAAUGCAGAAGUUUAAAAUUUUUGAUCUGUUCGAUCAUUAAAAUCUUACA